Equus caballus (horse) is the source of this 1727-nucleotide long non-coding RNA. The record is from Ensembl. NCBI's taxonomy places the organism in Eukaryota, Metazoa, Chordata, Mammalia, Perissodactyla, Equidae.
GGGACAGUGGCCAUGGGCUUCCACCCAGCUGGACGGGGCUGCAGCUGGGCCUGCCUGACGGUAAUAAAGAAUGUGGAGAGCUCGCUUGCCCGCCACAGCCCAGCGGCAGGAAACAUCCCGAGAGCACCUGCUUCCUGAGGGCCCUGCAGGGCUCCUGGGCACCAUCUGGGCGCUGCCCCGAGUGCUGUUUGCAUUAGGAGUUUAGAAAAACAAUUCGGCUUUGACUGAUCGCUCUGUAAUUUUCUCAGGCGCAUCCCAGGGUCUCACCCUGCCCCCCUGCCUCUGUCCUUGCCAGCUCUUCUCAGGAGUUCCUAGGCCGACACACACACACCACACUCACACCACACACAAGCCGCUGCAACACACUCACAUGCACACACAUAUACACACAUUCUCACACACACGCACUAUUGCAGCUCACGCACGUGCCCUCGCCUUCUACAGUUCUCAGGGAUACCCUACUCUCUUCUCAGAGGUGGGGCCCUCGCCUCUUUGGGAUCGGCAGGGGAAGGGUCAGCAGUCCUGGGAGCUCAGGGUGGGAGCGGCUGUGGAGCAUGGGGCCUGCAGCCGGACGCCGGGGCUGAAUCCCGGGUCUGCGGCACCUCGCCCGCUAUCUGCGCUUCCGUCGCCUCUGUCGUUGAAGACUGAGGCUGCCGCUGGCCCCUCAGCCCUGCUCAGAACAGCGCCUGGCUCAGAGGAAGCGCGACACGUGUUCAUUGUUAAAAAUUCCAGCAACUCAAGGAAUUCCGGCCGGUUGACGAGGUGCAUUGUGGAGCCUGGCGCCCUACCCUGCCCUGCCCCCACCCCCACUCCACUGGGCCAGCUCACCAUCUGGGGGCUUGGAAGUCACCAUCAGCCAUUAAGAAGGUGUGCACCUGCCCCCGGGCCUUUGCAAGGGCUGCUCCCUCUUCUGGAAAGCCAAGGCUUGCUUCCUCACGUCCCUUGAGAUUCCACUCAAAUGUCACCUUCUCUGUUUAAAGCCUUCCCCCGCCCCUCCCAGCUCCGUUGCCCACCUUCACGGACUUGGCUUCUGCAGCUGUUCCUCUCUGGAAUGCGUGUGGAAGGCAGGAAGUCCUGCUGCGGGCCCAGGACGCCCGGGACGAGGCCGGGCCUUAGAAGGCGUUUGAUGAACAACUUCGUCUGAGGGGGCGAAGAGCACGUCCCUGAGGGCUUGUUUGAGGCCUGAGGGGGCCCACAGGCGAGCCUGACCGCUCUGACCGGGAGCGAGCGCGCAGUGGGAGAAUUGUUGUCAUCGUUAGUAGUAGUGGUAAUGUUGUGGUUUUGGUGGCUGUUUGUUGGAAGCCCGCGGUAGACCAGCAAACAUUCCCUCUUCUUCUGAUAACCCAUCCCGUUCCCUCUGGGAACCGCCCCCCACACUGUGGGCCCACGGCAAUGGGCUCAGAGAUGGGCAUGAUCCAAAGUCAACCAGAGACAUUCCCCAUUUCCUGAUGGCUGAGCAGAUGCAAUGGCUGGCACUGCUGCAGCUGUCUCUCCACCAGGCGGAGAGUGAAGCAUCAGAGGUGAGCCAGGCUGAAGGACAGAGAGAGGCCUGAGCCAGGCAGCAGUGACGGUGCUCAGACCCCUUCUCAGUCUGGGCCUAAUCCACGUCUGGUCUUUCAGCUGCUUAUGUCAAUAACACUCAUUUCAGUUAAGCCCAUUCAGGUUAGGUCGCUGUCACUUGCCACCAGCAAGGUCCUGCUUGAUCUAGAAUCUGACGUGGAAUCCUC